Molecule: non-coding RNA, 156 nt
Filed under: Alphaproteobacteria bacterium
Lineage: Bacteria; Pseudomonadati; Pseudomonadota; Alphaproteobacteria
Description: 6S RNA
Rfam family: 6S / SsrS RNA
About the family: E. coli 6S RNA was the first non coding RNA to be sequenced, but its function was unknown until recently.
Source: RNAcentral
CGAGGGCUGCCUGGUGCGUUGGUCGCAUCAGUCCCUGGGGCCAAUAUCCACCUCUGGGGAGCCGUCUCUGCCAGGAUCGUGGUCCUGGUACAUGGCGCCCACCUGCGUAGCAGGCCACAGAGGACUCGCAAUGCCGACGGCCGAGGCGGCUCCGCU